RNAcentral lists this ribosomal RNA (549 nucleotides) under Actinomycetes bacterium. Its description in RNAcentral is "bacterial SSU rRNA". It matches the Rfam family "Bacterial small subunit ribosomal RNA", at positions 889 to 1387 of the family's 1533-position model. Lineage: Bacteria; Bacillati; Actinomycetota; Actinomycetes. The record is from RNAcentral.
CAAGGUUAAAACUCAAAGGAAUUGACGGUGACCCGCACAAGCGGCGGAGCAUGCGGAUUAAUUUGAUGCAACGCGAAGAACCUUACCAAGGCUUGACAUUCUCCAGAACGGGCCAGAAAUGGUCAACUCUUUGGACACUGGUGAACAGAUGGUGCAUGGUUGUCGUCAGCUCGUGUCGUGAGAUGUUGGGUUAAGUCUCGCAACGAGCGCCCCCCUCGUUUUAUGUUGCCAGCACGUUAUGGUGGGAACUCAUGGGAUACUGCCGGGGUCAACUCGGAGGAAGGUGGGGAUGACGUCAAAUCUUCCUCCCCCCUAUGUCUGGGCUUCACGCAUGCUACAAUGGCCGGUACAAUGGGCUGCGAUACCGCGAGGUGGAGCGAAUCCCAAAAAGCCGGUCCCAGUUCGGAUUGAGGUCUGCAACUCGACCUCAUGAAGUCGGAGUCGCUAGUAAUCGCAGAUCAGCAACGCUGCGGUGAAUACGUUCCCGGGUCUUGUACACCCCCCCUUCAUUGUCGAAAACUAGUAUAGAGUGAUAUCCCUGCACAAGAA